GACGUACCCCGAGAGGUGAGACCCCCUGGCCCCUCAGCCUGGCCCCUGCUACCUGUCCCCACCCCGAUCCUACAGCCUGACAUAUCCUGAGAGGUGAGGCCCCCGCAGCCUGGCCCCUGCUACCUACCUCCCCAAUCCUACAGCCUGAUGUACCCCGAGAGGUGAGGCCCCCACUACCUGCCCCCCUGAUCCUACAGCCUGCUGUAACCCGCGAGGUGAGACCCCCUGGCCCCGCAGCCUGGCCCCUGCUACCAGUCCCCACGCCGAUCCUACAGCCUGACGUACCCCGAGAGGUGAGAUCCUCUGGCCCCUGCUACCAGUCCCCACGCCGAUCCUACAGCCUGACGUACCCCGAGAGGUGAGGCCCCCGCAGCCUGGCCCCUGCUACCUAUCUCCCUGAUCCUACAGCCUGACGUACCUCGAGAAGCGAGACACUUCCCCCCAGCAGCCCAGCCCCCACUACUGGCCCCCCCAAUCUUACAGCCUGACGUACCCCGAGAGGUGAGGCCCCCACAGCCUGGCCCCCGCUACCUGCCCCCCGAUCCUACAGCCUGACAUACCCCGAGAGGUGAGAUCCCCUGGCCCCUGCUACCUGUCCCCACCCCGAUCCUACAGCCUGACAUACCCCGAGAGGUGAGGCCCCUGCAGCCUAGUCCCCGCUACCUACCCCCCCGAUCCUACAGCCUGAUGUACCCCGAGAGGUGAGGCCCCUGCAGUUUGCCCCCCUGAUCCUACAGCCUGACAUACCCCGAGAGGUGAGGCCCCUGCAGCCCGGCCCCUGCUACCUACCCCCUCGAUCUUACAGCCUGACGUACCCCGAGAGGUGAGGCCCCUGCAGCCCGGCCCCUGCUACCUACCCCCCUCAAUCCUACAGCCUGACGUACCCCGAGAGGCGAGGCUGCUGCAGCCUGCCCCCCAAUACUACUGCCUGAUGUACCCCGAGAGGUGGGGCCCCUCCAGCAGCCUGGCCCCUGCUACCUAACCCCCCAAUCCUACAGCCUAACGUACCCCGAGAGGUGAGGCCCCUGCAGCCCGGCCCCCACUACCUACCUCCCCGAUCCUACUGCCUGACGUACCCCGAGAGGUGAGGCCGCUGCAGCCUGCCCCCUGAUCCUACUGCCUGAUGUACCCUGGGAGGUGAGUCCCCUCCAGCAGCCUGGCCCCUGCUACCUACCCCCCCGAUCCUACUGCCUGACGUACCCCAAGAGGUGAGACCCCCGCCCCGUGCAUGCCCUGCCCUGCUGCUUGCCCCGUCUCUC
Gopherus evgoodei (Goodes thornscrub tortoise) is the source of this 1259-nucleotide long non-coding RNA. RefSeq lists it as uncharacterized. The record is from RefSeq and is a predicted model, not a curated record. The transcript has 3 exons. Lineage: Eukaryota; Metazoa; Chordata; Testudines; Testudinidae.